Molecule: long non-coding RNA, 955 nt
Organism: Pogonomyrmex barbatus (red harvester ant)
Lineage: Eukaryota; Metazoa; Arthropoda; Insecta; Hymenoptera; Formicidae
Source: RefSeq, a predicted model, not a curated record
CGCUAUCGUAGCUCGGCUAGUGACAGCGACCGCUCGUUAGUCUCUUUCCACGCGCUCCUCGAUCACUCGAUAAUUUAACGCGUUACGUCAUUUAGCGAGCGUCACACUCGGCGCGGAUCUACCGGACGCGGAAUCGGGAAUUUUAGCCCGAAAGAUAAUUACCGUGAAUUCUCUGGCGAGUUCUCUGUCGAAAAAAUUGCCCUCGGCAUAGGAUGGCUCGAUCCGCGACGCAACCGUAGAUUCUAUCGCGCUGCCUAUCAUGCUUAUUGUUAACAUUCGGCGAAAGUAUCGACGAGGCGAGUUUCGCGCGACGCUCUUGGAAUAAUUUCGGUAAGUGUCUUCAAAGGAGUGCGCGAACGCGCGUGGCGCGAUCCCAUCUCUGAGACAGUAACAAUCGUGCGUCAUAUACAACAGGCAAUUUGAGAUAGCCUGUAAAUUUUUCGAUAAGAUACCGUUGUUGGACAAGCCUUGAUACCUGACAUUUCUGAUGUUGCAAGCCCGACAACAUCCGGCUGCGUGUGAUAUUCUGUCAUCGCCGUACGUAAAGACACCGAUCAAAGGAGUGUUUCUCACAUUGAAGUGAUUGCCGAGAUAGAAUCACUACCUCGCGGCGAUAAUUACGCCGCUUCCACGGACGAAGGGACACGACGACCGAGAAACGGAUGCAGAGGCCCAUCGCCAAGACAAGAUGCCAAUUCGCGAUGGUACGCGACGGUCCAGCUACCAGAAUAGCCGCCGCAUGAUGAAUAGAACAAGAAACCGCGAUUAGCCGGGAAGAGAAUGGCGUGAGGGAUAGGGGCGAACGCGUCAUUACCGAAGAAACACCUAGGAUGACUUAUGGGAGAGCCCGGAACUGAAGAGGCUCGGAGCAAGAAGUCGCGGGGGGAGCGGUCUCAGUUCACGCGAUGCAUAAUUUCUCAACGCGAGGGUUGCAUCUUCAGUAAAAAAAAAAAAA